Molecule: ribosomal RNA, 423 nt
Filed under: uncultured bacterium
Lineage: Bacteria
Description: bacterial SSU rRNA
Rfam family: Bacterial small subunit ribosomal RNA
Source: RNAcentral
UCGAGAAUUUUUCUCAAUGGGGGAAACCCUGAAGGAGCGACGCCGCGUGGAGGAUGAAGGUCUUCGGAUCGUAAACUCCUGUCAUCAGAGAACAAUGGACACACUAAUCCUGUGUCUUGAUAGUAUUUGAAGAGGAAGAGACGGCUAACUCUGUGCCAGCAGCCGCGGUAAUACAGAGGUCUCAAGCGUUGUUCGGAUUUAUUGGGCGUAAAGGGUGCGUAGGCGGCGGGGCAAGUGAGGUGUGAAAUCCCGGAGCUCAACUCUGGAACUGCACUUUAUACUACUCUGCUAGAGUCUUGGAGAGGAGACUGGAAUUUACGGUGUAGCAGUGAAAUGCGUAGAUAUCGUAAGGAAGACCAGUGGCGAAAGCGAGUCUCUGGACAAUGACUGACGCUGAGGCACGAAGGCCAGGGGAGCAAACGG